Molecule: long non-coding RNA, 2435 nt
Filed under: Salmo salar (Atlantic salmon)
Lineage: Eukaryota; Metazoa; Chordata; Actinopteri; Salmoniformes; Salmonidae
Description: lncRNA (ENSSSAG00000091616.1)
Source: RNAcentral
UAUUAAAAAAAAUCAUGACAGCUGUGAUGGAAACAGGAAGCUUUAGUACAAUUUUAUAAAUGCAGACAGAUAAUUUGUUGUUUGACAAGGUGGGAUCUUUUUGUGUCAAUAAAAUGUAUUAUGCGAGAAAUGGUGGUGGAAAUGCCUUUAUGAUGGUCCAUUCCAAUAAAUAUUGAAGGUCUUAUUCUAGUGACAUGACGAUUGAUGGUUGACUGCCGUUUGACAAAUAAAAAUAUUCUCGCUCUAAUCCAUAAUAAUCUCAUCAUGUAGACUAACCUACCUGCACCACCUGCCUGCACCGUAUCUGCGAGCUGUUGACUGACUAGAGCACGGUGCAUUUGCUAUUUAACUCAACAGUUUUUAUAUUUUAGCCAUUUAGCUGACACUCUUAUCCAGAGUGACUUAUUGUAGUGAGUGCAGACAUUUUCAAACUUUUCUUCCAUACUGUUUUUUGUAACAGUUGAAAGUGCGAUGGGUUGAAAGUGCGAUGGAAACACAUUGAACUUUAUAGAUGUUUAUUCAGAACAUGAAAACUUAAGCGAAAAAGUACAUUUUGUGUGCACUACGUCAUCACACUGAUUUUUAUCUGCAACAAGUCAGUUUGGUGGAAACACACCACUGGUGGGGAAAUGUGCUUAUGUUCUUCAUGCAGAUUUUAGAAUAUUAGCAUAAAAAUCUGUUGCCAACUGGACGGAAACCUAGCUAUUGUUUAAGGUAGAUUUGUGGCAGUGCUUUUCUAACCAGGGGGGUGUAUGUGUUUCAGAGUAUGUGGGUUUUUAAUGAAAAUAGCUAGGCAGACAACGGUAUACAGUAUCUUUGACAAACAAAAGCAGACAAAGUCAUACUACAGGAGAUGUCAUCCCUUUUAGAGCAGGCCUACACAUAAUGGGUUUAACAGAGAGAGGGAGAGAGGACAAAUUAGUGCCAAGGAAGUGUAUUGGCGACAUCAGGGUUGUGUAAGAAUGCAAGUGAAGUACAGAAAACAUAAGUUGUUACACAAUUGGUGUGACUCAGGCAUGAUUUAAAAGGGAAAAGGAAAGGGGGAUACCUAGUCAGUUGCACAACUGAAAUGUGUCUUCUGCAUUUAACCCAACCCCUCUGAAUCAGAGAGGUGUAGGGGAGCUGCCUUAAUCGACAUCCACGUCUUCAGCGCCCGGGGAACAGUGGGUUAAUUGCCUUGCUCAGAGGCAGAACGACAGAUUUUUACGUUGUCAGCUCGGGGAUUCGAUCCAGCAACCUUUCAGUUACUGGCCCAACGCUCCUACCCGCCGGGCUACAAAAAGCCUGUGUACCACAUGUGCAGCACACGUGGAACCACUCAUCGCCACAUAUCACAGUGGUGUAGGCAUAAUUCUUUGCAUCCCAGGUGAACUGUAAAAAUUGACAACACUUUUUUUGUGUGUAUUUCCAUUCUGACAGACUACAUAAUGAUAACAACACCCAGUCAUCAAACUCAAUGAGAUAAUUUGUGUGUCAGUGUGUGUGUGCAUGUGCAUGUUUGUGUGCUCCUCUCCAGGUAGAGUGCUCCUCUAGGUAGAGUACUCCUCUCUAGGUAGAGUGCUCCUCUCUAGGUAGAGUGCUCCUCUAGGUAGAGUACUCCUCUCUAGGUAGAGUGCACCUCUCUAGGUAGAGUGCUCCGCUCUAGGUAGAGUGCUCCUCUCUAGGUAGAGUGCUCCUCUAGGUAGAGUACUCCUCUCUAGGUAGAGUGCUCCUCUCUAGGUAGAGUGCUCCUCUCUAGGUAGAGUGCUCCUCUCUAGGCAGAGUACUCCUCUCUAGGUAGAGUACUCUGCUCUAGGUAGAGUACUCCUCUCUAGGUAGAGUGCUCCUCUCUAGGUAGAGUGCUCCUCUCUAGGUAGAGUACUCCUCUCUAGGUAAAGUGCUCCUCUCUAGGUAGAGUCAUUUUCUCUAGGUAGAGUACUCCUCUCUAGGUAAAGUGCUCCUCUCUAGGUAGAGUGCUCCUCUUUAAGUAGAGUGCUUUUUUCUAGGUAGAGUACUCCUCUCUAGGUAGAGUACUCCUCUCUAGGUAGAGUGCUCCUCUCUAAGUAGAGUACUCCUCUCUAGGUAGAGUACUCCUCUCUAGGUAGAGUGCUCCUCUCUAGGUGAAUGCUACUUCUUCCUCAUCAGGGUCCUACUUUUAGCCAGAGCUAUUUGUUUUUGCACUCUGUUACUAAGCAACAUCACAGACCCUUCUCACAGAAAGGCCGUUAUGAAAACAUGUGUACAGUGGAGGAAAGGGCAUACUUAGUCAGUUGCACAACUGAAUGCAUUCAACUGAAAUGUGUCUUCCUCAUUUAACCCAACUCAUCUGAAUCAGAGAGGUGCGGGGGGCUGCCUUAAUCGACGUCCACGUCAUCGGCACCCAAGGAACAGUUUUUGUUGAGGGUUAACUGCCUUGCUCAAUGGCAGAACGGCAGAUUUGUCCACCUUGCCGGCUC